This 506-nucleotide ribosomal RNA is filed under the name uncultured bacterium. RNAcentral's name for it is "partial 16S ribosomal RNA". It matches the Rfam family "Bacterial small subunit ribosomal RNA", at positions 29 to 523 of the family's 1533-position model. The record is from RNAcentral.
AGUGAACGCUGGCGGUAGGCCUAACACAUGCAAGUCGAACGGCAGCACAGGAGAGCUUGCUCUCUGGGUGGCGAGUGGCGGACGGGUGAGGAAUACAUCGGAAUCUACUCUGUCGUGGGGGAUAACGUAGGGAAACUUACGCUAAUACCGCAUACGACCUACGGGUGAAAGCAGGGGACCUUCGGGCCUUGCGCGAUUGAAUGAGCCGAUGUCGGAUUAGCUAGUUGGCGGGGUAAAGGCCCACCAAGGCGACGAUCCGUAGCUGGCCUGAGAGGAUGAUCAGCCACACUAGAACUGAGACACGGUCCAGACUCCUACGGGAGGCAGCAGUGGGGAAUAUUGGACAGUGGGCGCAAGCCUGAUCCAGCCAUACCGCGUGGGUGAAGAAGGCCUUCGGGUUGUAAAGCCCUUUUGUUGGGAAAGAAAUCCAGCUGGCUAAUACCCGGUUGGGAUGACGGUACCCAAAGAAUAAGCACCGGCUAACUUCGUGCCAGCCGCCGCGGUAA